This 277-nucleotide long non-coding RNA is filed under the name Numida meleagris (helmeted guineafowl). RNAcentral's name for it is "lncRNA (ENSNMEG00000021976.1)". Lineage: Eukaryota; Metazoa; Chordata; Aves; Galliformes; Numididae. The record is from RNAcentral.
AAGAGAGAGUUUGCCGCGCAAGACUUUGAUGUGCUUGCAUCUUGAUCAUGCUCCCCCCUCAACACCAGUGUCAGUGCCUGUGUGUAUGGCUGCAGUCGGAGGCCUGCAGAUUGGAAUGCUGAUGAUGGGACGCAGAAGUGCUGAGGAAUGAAUGUGUGCAUGGUAAGCAAUAAUCUGGUUGUGAGUGUCCACAACUCUUACAAAAAAUGAAGCUACCUUUGAUGGCCUCUCUUUUCUCUUUCCUUCUGUUUCCUUCUGUUUCCUUCUGUUUCCUUCU